GAUUGACCUCGGAUCAGGUAGGGAUACCCGCUGAACUUAAGCAUAUCAAUAAGCGGAGGAAAAGAAACCAACCGGGAUUGCCUCAGUAACGGCGAGUGAAGCGGCAAGAGCUCAAAUUUGAAAGCUGGCCCCUCCGGGGUCCGCGUUGUAAUUUGCAGAGGAUGCUUUGGGUGCGGCCCCCGUCUAAGUGCCCUGGAACGGGCCGUCAGAGAGGGUGAGAAUCCCGUCUUGGGCGGGGUGUCCGUGCCCGUGUAAAGCUCCUUCGACGAGUCGAGUUGUUUGGGAAUGCAGCUCUAAAUGGGUGGUAAAUUUCAUCUAAAGCUAAAUACUGGCCGGAGACCGAUAGCGCACAAGUAGAGUGAUCGAAAGAUGAAAAGCACUUUGAAAAGAGAGUUAAACAGCACGUGAAAUUGUUGAAAGGGAAGCGCUUGCGACCAGACUCGCCCUCGGGGUUCAGCCGGCACUCGUGCCGGUGUACUUCCCCGGGGGCGGGCCAGCGUCAGCUUGGGCGGCCGGUCAAAGGCCUCCGGAAUGUAGUGCCCCCCGGGGCACCUUAUAGCCGGAGGUGCAAUGCGGCCAGCCUGGGCUGAGGAACGCGCUUCGGCACGGACGCUGGCAUAAUGGUCGCAAACGACC
This 636-nucleotide ribosomal RNA is filed under the name Aspergillus aculeatus. RNAcentral describes it as "eukaryotic LSU rRNA". It matches the Rfam family "Eukaryotic large subunit ribosomal RNA", at positions 1 to 649 of the family's 3401-position model. The record is from RNAcentral. RNAcentral also lists the same sequence under 2 other names. Lineage: Eukaryota; Fungi; Ascomycota; Eurotiomycetes; Eurotiales; Aspergillaceae.